UUCAACUGCUGGUCCGAGCAUAUGGGUGCCU
RNAcentral lists this non-coding RNA (31 nucleotides) under Rattus norvegicus (Norway rat). Lineage: Eukaryota; Metazoa; Chordata; Mammalia; Rodentia; Muridae. The record is from RNAcentral.